Molecule: long non-coding RNA, 405 nt
Organism: Alosa alosa (allis shad)
Lineage: Eukaryota; Metazoa; Chordata; Actinopteri; Clupeiformes; Clupeidae
Exons: 5
Source: RefSeq, a predicted model, not a curated record
ACUAAAUAAACUUUCUCUCAAUAAGCAAUAAGAACAGGUUCUUCUCUACAGACCAUAUCACUGAAUGGGCAGUACAGGAAUCAACCUGAGUAAAAAUAGGUGAUCAUCUCUGGAGUGCUCUUGAUCGUCUUGUAUUCUUCGCAGGCCAGCCAGAACAGGAUGUUCUCCUCACUGUACUCUGACCUCAGAAACUCCUGGAAAGCUGCCUGACCAGCUACAGUUGGAAGACCCGGAAACAACACUUCAUGAGCACAGACUGACCCACCCUACUCAGGCUACAUCUGCACUACCACUUCACCAAGUCUGCGCAUCAAAAAUGCACUUACUUGCAGUAGUGAACCAAAGUGAAGAUCCAUGCCUUUCAAAUGUACUUUGACAACUUCACAGAAAGAACUUUAAAAUCCC